GGGAAGUUCACAAAGACAUUUGUGGCAAUUAUUUGGCCCGAAGUUGUUGACCUACAAAGUACUUCGGCAGCGAUAUUCUUGAAAGAACUGGGGAUUCAGCACAGAAAGACUUCGGGUAUUCUACUUUGGACCCAUCUCCUACUACUGAGGAAUUUUGGGUGCCACCCGAAGCUGCAGAUGUUAUUCGGAGGGUUCAUGUGGAUAUUUAUGUCAGCUAAAUG
RNAcentral lists this long non-coding RNA (221 nucleotides) under Panax ginseng (ginseng). RNAcentral's name for it is "long non-coding RNA (PGIN_LNC016941)". Lineage: Eukaryota; Viridiplantae; Streptophyta; Magnoliopsida; Apiales; Araliaceae. The record is from RNAcentral.